GGGUGAGUAACACGUGAGGAACCUGCCCUGUACACCGGGAUAACCGCGGGAAACCGUGGCUAAUACCGGAUGCUCCACCACGAUCGCAUGGUCGAGGUGGGAAAGCUCAGGCGGUACAGGAGGGCCUCGCGGCGUAUCAGCUAGUUGGUGAGGUAAUGGCUCACCAAGGCGUCGACGCGUAGCUGGAGUGAGAGCUCGAACAGCCACACUGGGACUGAGACACGGCCCAGACUCCUACGGGAGGCAGCAGUGGAGAAUCUUGCGCAAUGGGCGAAAGCCUGACGCAGCCACGCCGCGUGCGGGAAGAAGGCCUUCGGGUCGUAAACCGCUUUCAGGAGGGAAGAAGCGAAAGUGACGGUACCUCCAGAAGAAGCCCCGGCCAACUACGUGCCAGCAGCCGCGGUAAUACGUAGGGGGCAAGCGUUAUCCGGAAUUAUUGGGCGUAAAGCGCAUGUAGGCGGCCAUGUAAGUCGGUUGUGAAAUCUCGGGGCUCAACCCCGAA
RNAcentral lists this ribosomal RNA (502 nucleotides) under uncultured prokaryote. RNAcentral describes it as "bacterial SSU rRNA". It matches the Rfam family "Bacterial small subunit ribosomal RNA", at positions 104 to 619 of the family's 1533-position model. The record is from RNAcentral.